Molecule: ribosomal RNA, 443 nt
Filed under: uncultured bacterium
Lineage: Bacteria
Description: partial 16S ribosomal RNA
Rfam family: Bacterial small subunit ribosomal RNA
Source: RNAcentral
CCUACGGGAGGCUGCAGUGAGGAAUAUUGGGCAAUGGAGGCAACUCUUACCCAGCAAUGCCGCGUGAAUGAAGAAGGUCUUCGGAUUGUAAAGUUCUUUUAUUGGGGACGAAAAAAAUGACGGUACCUGACUAAGAAGCCCCGCCUAACUACGUGCCAGCAGCCGCGGUGAUACGUAGGGGGCAAGCGUUAUCCGGAUUUACUGGGUGUAAAGGGAGCGUAGACGGCGCUGCAAGUCCGGAGUGAAAGGCCAUGGCUUAACCAUGGUACUGCUCUGGAAACUGGAGAGCUUGAGUGCGGGGGGGGCAGGCGGAAUUCCUAGUGUAGCGGUGAAAUGCGUAGAUAUUACGAGGAACACCGGCGGCGAAGGCGGCCUGCUGGAGCGUAACUGACGUUGAGGCUCGAAAGCGUGGGGAGCAAACAGGAUUAGAUACCCCUGUAGUC